CGCGUAGGCGGACAGUUUAGUCGGGGGUGAAAUCCCAGGGCUCAACCCUGGAACUGCCUUCGAUACUGGCUGUCUUGAGUUCGGGAGAGGUGAGUGGAAUGCCGAGUGUAGAGGUGAAAUUCGUAGAUAUUCGGCGGAACACCAGUGGCGAAGGCGACUCACUGGCCCGAUACUGACGCUGAUGCGCGAAAGCGUGGGGAGCAAACAGGAUUAGAUACCCUGGUAGUCCACGCUGUAAACGAUGAGUGCUAGUUGUCGGCAUGCAUGCAUGUCGGUGACGCAGCUAACGCAUUAAGCACUCCGCCUGGGGAGUACGGUCGCAAGAUUAAA
RNAcentral lists this ribosomal RNA (330 nucleotides) under uncultured bacterium. Its description in RNAcentral is "bacterial SSU rRNA". It matches the Rfam family "Bacterial small subunit ribosomal RNA", at positions 568 to 898 of the family's 1533-position model. The record is from RNAcentral.